Long non-coding RNA from Numida meleagris (helmeted guineafowl), 1350 nucleotides. RefSeq lists it as uncharacterized. The transcript is spliced from 3 exons. NCBI's taxonomy places the organism in Eukaryota, Metazoa, Chordata, Aves, Galliformes, Numididae. The record is from RefSeq and is a predicted model, not a curated record.
GAGGAGUAUCUUCACAAACAUAACAAAAAGUAUACUGUGACCAGCAUAAUCACUCAGAUUUCCAAAACAGCAUACUAAAACGCUGCCAGUGAAAGGUCCUCUAGUGCAUCACUCAGACCAAAAGCUCUACACACAACUCCAGAACCUGCACUAGUUCAUCAGCUGCAGAAAAUAAUCUUGCAGGAGUUUCAACCUUGCUGAGAACAAGCAAAAAAGUAAAAAUUCUUAAGUGGGGGCGAUGGGAGACUUGACACAGGUGAAGAGGGAUGAAGCACAGGGGCUCCAGCCGGUUGGCCUGAAGCAGCAAGCCGGCUGGGCUUGGCCGCACCUGGGAGGAGCUGAUGAGGUGAGGGCGUGCGGAGCUCGUGCCACAAGAUGGUGGCGCGGCUGAGGGGAGUGUAGCUGCUACAGCCAGGGAAGAGCAAGGAGGGAGCCCUGCAGCAGGCAGGCGGCGCUACGUGGAGGCUGUGUAGUGUGGCUGCGACUAAGAGGUCACUGCGGAGUACCUACGUGGUUGUUUAGUGGAAGCGUGGUGAAACUGCUGUGUAGGCUGAAUGCAGCUGGUAACCUGGAGGGACUCGCAGAGAUAGGAGCAAAAGGGCUGCAUGGCAUCCAGCAGGAUGCACGUUCCUGAGGAUGGGUCUGUGGGGUCCUACACCCACUAGGAUUGACUGAAGCCUGCAGCAGGGUCGCUGAUGUCUGGGAUGGUUCUUGCUGCGAGGCAUAGUGGUACCUUCAUACAUUGGUUUUGGAGGGAGGGGGAAAAAGGCAAAAAAGUGCCUUAAUGGACUGCUCUGAAUUAAAAGCUGUAACCAUCCUUUGCAGUGAGCUAGAUUCUUUGUAACUAUGCGUAUUCCCCUCGCAGCUGAGGUGGCUGUACAGUACUACACAUUUCCUGCUCAUGACAGGAUGUAAAAUAUGUGCUUAACUAUCUUUUAAGUCAGUGGGGCUAAAGCUGAUACGUGCUCACAUCCUUUCCUGGCCUGAGGUCUAUGGAUGGAGUCUGACAUCCCUAUUGGCAUUCUAACAACGCCUAUCUGACAAAGGCUGCAAAAACACAGCUUUACAGCUCAGUAAUAAAUAUUCUGAUUCUGGAUUCUGCCCUCAAGUAGGGGCUAUGCGUUACCUGAAUUGAUUUUAAACGUGCUUUUAGCUCAGGCUGAUGUAACUAAGGUGUUCUUUUACAUAUCCCACAGGGGAGGGAAAUGGACUGAGGGAGAGUGGAGGAGAGCUGUUUCAGGUCACCAUCUUGUCGCUCGAAACUCCCUAUGGGUUUCUCCCUAUGGGUAAUUCCUUCUGAAAGUAAAAAUAGCCAUAUAGUGUUGGAGCUUCACCGUAUUUGUUUUAUUG